GACGAACGCUGGCGGCGUGCUUAACACAUGCAAGUCGAACGGAAAGGCCCCUUUGGGGGUACUCGAGUGGCGAACGGGUGAGUAACACGUGAGUAACCUGCCCUUGACUUCGGGAUAACUUCAGGAAACUGGGGCUAAUACCGGAUAGGAAUCCUUGCUGCAUGGUGGGGGUUGGAAAGCUUCGGCGGUUUUGGAUGGACUCGCGGCUUAUCAGCUUGUUGGUGGGGUAGUGGCUUACCAAGGCUUUGACGGGUAGCCGGCCUGAGAGGGCGACCGGCCACAUUGGGACUGAGGUACGGCCCAGACUCCUACGGGAGGCAGCAGUGGGGAAUAUUGCACAAUGGGCGGCAGCCUGAUGCAGCAACGCCGCGUGCGGGAUGACGGCCUUCGGGUUGUAAACCGCUUUCAGCAGGGGCGAAGCUUGUGGUGACGGUACCUGCAGAAGAAGCACCGGCUAACUACGUG
Molecule: ribosomal RNA, 465 nt
Filed under: uncultured bacterium
Lineage: Bacteria
Description: partial 16S ribosomal RNA
Rfam family: Bacterial small subunit ribosomal RNA
Source: RNAcentral